CUGCGGGUUUCUGGCCGGCCCCGCCCCGCUCCCCGCUUGCUGUAUUGGCGCAGCGCGCACAGCCUCGGUCUUUCUGCCCGGGCCUUGGAGGCCGACCCUUCUGGACUCGGUGCCCAGCCGUGCGGCUGCCUCGGACCCAAGCGCAGGUUGAAAACUGCAAGAAAGAAAUUAGUGAACUGAGGGGCUCCAAGGUGAAGUAGUCUCCACGUAGUGCCCUGGCUUGCCGGCCGCCCGCUUUGUGGCUGAGAUAGGUGAGGCCCCGUUUGACAGGUGAAGAAUGGGGCCCACGUGAGAGUGUCCGUGAAUUGUAGUAAUUGGCGGUGCUGAAGGUAGACUCCCGAAGUCUCCCAUCAGCAUAUAGAGUCCUCUCCUGCCCCUUCCUGACUCUCGAGGGCUAGUGUAAGGCAUGUUAGGCAUUUUUAAGUAAGCAGGGAGAAGGAAGAUUUAAAGGAUGUUCAUAAGAAUAUGUUGUCAGAGUUGCCUGGAACCCUCUGCAUGCUAGGACGAGUUCUUUGCUAGUAGCUAGUCAAGAUGUUGUUAACCUGUACAUUUUUGUAUGUUGGUAAUUUCCCGCAAUCUUAAAUAAAGUCUUUCCUGUGUCAAUUUCA
Molecule: long non-coding RNA, 608 nt
Organism: Psammomys obesus (fat sand rat)
Lineage: Eukaryota; Metazoa; Chordata; Mammalia; Rodentia; Muridae
Exons: 3
Source: RefSeq, a predicted model, not a curated record